Molecule: ribosomal RNA, 253 nt
Filed under: uncultured bacterium
Lineage: Bacteria
Description: partial 16S ribosomal RNA
Rfam family: Bacterial small subunit ribosomal RNA
Source: RNAcentral
GACAGAGGGGGCAAGCGUUGCUCGGAAUUACUGGGCGUAAAGCGUGCGCAGGCGGUUCUGAAAGUCAGCUGUGAAAGCCCCGGGCUUAACCUGGGAAUUGCGGUUGAAACUACAGGGCUAGAAUCUGGCAGAGGGGGGUGGAAUUCCACGUGUAGCAGUGAAAUGCGUAGAGAUGUGGAGGAACACCGAUGGCGAAGGCAGCCCCCUGGGCUGAGAUUGACGCUCAGGCGCGAAAGCGUGGGGAGCAAACAGG